This 1431-nucleotide ribosomal RNA is filed under the name uncultured bacterium. Its description in RNAcentral is "bacterial SSU rRNA". It matches the Rfam family "Bacterial small subunit ribosomal RNA". The record is from RNAcentral.
AGAGUUUGAUCCUGGCUCAGGACGAACGCUGGCGGCGUGCCUAAUACAUGCAAGUCGAGCGAGCUUGCCUAGAUGAUUUUAGUGCUUGCACUAAAUGAAACUAGAUACAAGCGAGCGGCGGACGGGUGAGUAACACGUGGGUAACCUGCCCAAGAGACUGGGAUAACACCUGGAAACAGAUGCUAAUACCGGAUAACAACACUAGACGCAUGUCUAGAGUUUGAAAGAUGGUUCUGCUAUCACUCUUGGAUGGACCUGCGGUGCAUUAGCUAGUUGGUAAGGUAACGGCUUACCAAGGCAAUGAUGCAUAGCCGAGUUGAGAGACUGAUCGGCCACAUUGGGACUGAGACACGGCCCAAACUCCUACGGGAGGCAGCAGUAGGGAAUCUUCCACAAUGGACGAAAGUCUGAUGGAGCAACGCCGCGUGAGUGAAGAAGGGUUUCGGCUCGUAAAGCUCUGUUGGUAGUGAAGAAAGAUAGAGGUAGUAACUGGCCUUUAUUUGACGGUAAUUACUUAGAAAGUCACGGCUAACUACGUGCCAGCAGCCGCGGUAAUACGUAGGUGGCAAGCGUUGUCCGGAUUUAUUGGGCGUAAAGCGAGUGCAGGCGGUUCAAUAAGUCUGAUGUGAAAGCCUUCGGCUCAACCGGAGAAUUGCAUCAGAAACUGUUGAACUUGAGUGCAGAAGAGGAGAGUGGAACUCCAUGUGUAGCGGUGGAAUGCGUAGAUAUAUGGAAGAACACCAGUGGCGAAGGCGGCUUUCUGGUCUGCAACUGACGCUGAGGCUCGAAAGCAUGGGUAGCGAACAGGAUUAGAUACCCUGGUAGUCCAUGCCGUAAACGAUGAGUGCUAAGUGUUGGGAGGUUUCCGCCUCUCAGUGCUGCAGCUAACGCAUUAAGCACUCCGCCUGGGGAGUACGACCGCAAGGUUGAAACUCAAAGGAAUUGACGGGGGCCCGCACAAGCGGUGGAGCAUGUGGUUUAAUUCGAAGCAACGCGAAGAACCUUACCAGGUCUUGACAUCCAGUGCAAACCUAAGAGAUUAGGUGUUCCCUUCGGGGACGCUGAGACAGGUGGUGCAUGGCUGUCGUCAGCUCGUGUCGUGAGAUGUUGGGUUAAGUCCCGCAACGAGCGCAACCCUUACCCACAGUAGCCAGCACAAAAGGUGGGCACUCUGUGGGGACUGCCGGGGACAACCCGGAGGAAGGUGGGGAUGACGUCAAAUCAUCAUGCCCCUUAUGGCCGGGGCUACACACGUGCUACAAUGGCGUAAACAAAGGGAAGCGAGAGAGUGAUCUUAAGCGAAACUCAAAAAUAACGUCCCAGUUCGGAUUGCAGUCUGCAACUCGACUGCAUGAAGCUGGAAUCGCUAGUAAUCGCGGAUCAGAAUGCCGCGGUGAAUACGUUCCCGGGUCUUGCACACACCGCCCGUCA